AGCCUCAUUCCAGAUAAGAAUGGGUACUGUUGAUCGAGAUCCAAAAUUGGAAAAUGGGUGGCUACACUGUGGGUCAUGCUUCCAUCAUAGUAAAUGCACUGCAGCAGUGGGAAUGAGACCUGUAACACGU
Small nucleolar RNA from Perognathus longimembris pacificus (Pacific pocket mouse), 130 nucleotides. RefSeq annotates it as small nucleolar RNA SNORA1. NCBI's taxonomy places the organism in Eukaryota, Metazoa, Chordata, Mammalia, Rodentia, Heteromyidae. The record is from RefSeq and is a predicted model, not a curated record. The transcript has a single exon.